GAUUUUUGAAUUUGUUUGAGUUGACUUUUGAUGCAAGUCGUUCUGUUGACUUUUGUGUGUUUCCCUUUGCUAUGAUUUGACUUCAAAUGUUCAUGAAAUGAUCAUAAUGCAUGAUUUGGAUGUGGGCCCAAUUGUGAUUGCUUUCUAAAUGGUUGACCUUGACUUUGGUUGACUUUUCCUUGCUGUUUUGACUUUUUCUUUCAUCCUUGACCCUAGGCUAGUCCUAGUGGUCUUCUGUG
This 239-nucleotide long non-coding RNA is filed under the name Lathyrus oleraceus (garden pea). Its description in RNAcentral is "Pisum sativum (pea) long non-coding RNA (PSAT_LNC027670)". Lineage: Eukaryota; Viridiplantae; Streptophyta; Magnoliopsida; Fabales; Fabaceae. The record is from RNAcentral.